This 253-nucleotide ribosomal RNA is filed under the name uncultured bacterium. RNAcentral's name for it is "partial 16S ribosomal RNA". It matches the Rfam family "Bacterial small subunit ribosomal RNA", at positions 524 to 776 of the family's 1533-position model. The record is from RNAcentral.
UACGUAGGGUGCAAGCGUUGUCCGGAAUUAUUGGGCGUAAAGGGCUCGUAGGCGGUUUGUCGCGUCGAAUGUGAAAACCCGGGGCUCAACCCCGGGCCUGCAUUCGAUACGGGCAGACUAGAGUUCGGUAGGGGAGUCUGGAAUUCCUGGUGUAGCGGUGAAAUGCGCAGAUAUCAGGAGGAACACCGGUGGCGAAGGCGGGACUCUGGGCCGAUACUGACGCUGAGGAGCGAAAGCGUGGGGAGCGAACAGG